CUGGUUCUCCCCGAAAUAUAUUUUGGUAUAGCCUUGCGUGUUCAACCGUGGUUGUAAAGCACUGUCUGGCCUAGGGGCCCUACCAGGUUACCGAAGUCAUACAAACUCUGAAUGCCACGGUUCUAGAGCGCAGGAGUCAGACGGCGGGGGAUAAGCUUCGUCGUCGAGAGGGAAACAGCCCAGACCAUCAGCUAAGGGCCCAAAGUGUUGACUAAGUGGCAAACGAUGUGCGAGCGCAGAGACAACCAGGAUGUUGGCUUAGAGGCAGCCACUCGUUCAAAGAGUGCGUAAUAGCUCACUGGUCGAGUGUUCGUGCGCGGAUAAUGUAACGGGGCUUAAGUCAACCCCCGAAGCUAUGGACCUCGCGCAAGCGGGGUGGUAGGGGAGCGUUCGCGUGCCAUCGAAGCGGCGGCGGAAGCCAGCCGUGGAGGCACGUGAAGUGAGAAUGCCGGUAUGAGUAACGAAAGAUGGGUGAGAAACCCAUCCACCGAUUGCCCAAGGUUUCCUGAGUAAAGCUAAUCUUCUCAGGGUUAGUCGGGACCUAAGCCGAGGCCGAAAGGCGUAGGCGAUGGACAACAGGUUGAUAUUCCUGUACCACGUCUUUCACGUUAUUACCGAUGGGGGGACGGGGAAGGAUAAGCGAACCGUGGCGUUGGUAGUCCACGGACAACCCGGUAGGACGGAUCCCAGGAAAAUCCGGGGUCCAUGCGUCCGAGAGGGGAUGUCAGUCGGCUUCGGCCGGCCAGUCGCUGAUUCCAUGCCUCCAAGAAAAGCCUCUAGGGAGUGGGAACGUGCCCGUACCAAAACCGACACAGGUGGGCAGGUAGAGCAUACCAAGGUGAUCGAGAGAACCUCCGUUAAGGAACUCGGCAAAAUGGCCCCGUAACUUCGGGAGAAGGGGCGCCGCGGUAGGGUGACGGGACUUGCUCCCCGAGCUCGAUGCGGCCGCAGAGAAUUGGCCCAACCGACUGUUUACCAAAAACACAGGUCUCUGCUAAGUCGUAAGACGAUGUAUAGGGGCUGACGCCUGCCCGGUGCCGGAAGGUCAAGAGGAGGGGUUAGCUUCGGCGAAGCUCUGAAUUCAAGCCCCGGUAAACGGCGGCCGUAACUAUAACGGUCCUAAGGUAGCGAAAUUCCUUGUCGGGUAAGUUCCGACCUGCACGAAUGGCGUAACGAGUUGGGCGCUGUCUCAACGGAGGACUCGGUGAAAUUGUAGUGUCGGUGAAGAUGCCGACUACCCGCCGCAAGACGGAAAGACCCCGUGAACCUUUACUGCAGCUUGAUAUUGGAAUUUGGGACAUCCUGUCCAGGAUAGGUGGGAGGCUGGGAAGCGAGGACGUUAGUCUUCGUGGAGCCGCCCUUGGGAUACCACCCUGGGUCUUCUGAGUUUCUAACGCGACACCGUUAUCCGGGUUGCGGACAGUGUCAGGUGGGCAGUUUGACUGGGG
RNAcentral lists this ribosomal RNA (1448 nucleotides) under groundwater metagenome. RNAcentral describes it as "bacterial LSU rRNA". It matches the Rfam family "Bacterial large subunit ribosomal RNA", at positions 849 to 2279 of the family's 2925-position model. The record is from RNAcentral.